This 555-nucleotide ribosomal RNA is filed under the name uncultured organism. RNAcentral describes it as "bacterial SSU rRNA". It matches the Rfam family "Bacterial small subunit ribosomal RNA", at positions 1 to 548 of the family's 1533-position model. The record is from RNAcentral.
CCAGACUUUGAUUAUGGCUCAGGAUGAACGCUAGCUACAGGCUUAACACAUGCAAGUCGAGGGGAAACGAUAGAGAAAGCUUGCUUUUUCUAGGCGUCGACCGGCGCACGGGUGAGUAACGCGUAUCCAACCUGCCCAUCACUUGGGGAUAACCUUGCGAAAGUAAGACUAAUACCCAAUGACGUCCAUAGAAGACAUCUGAAAUGGAUUAAAGAUUUAUCGGUGAUGGAUGGGGAUGCGUCUGAUUAGCUUGUUGGCGGGGUAACGGCCCACCAAGGCGACGAUCAGUAGGGGUUCUGAGAGGAAGGUCCCCCACAUUGGAACUGAGACACGGUCCAAACUCCUACGGGAGGCAGCAGUGAGGAAUAUUGGUCAAUGGACGAGAGUCUGAACCAGCCAAGUAGCGUGCAGGAUGACGGCCCUAUGGGUUGUAAACUGCUUUUAUAAGGGAAUAAAGUGAGUCUCGUGAGACUUUUUGCAUGUACCUUAUGAAUAAGGACCGGCUAAUUCCGUGCCAGCAGCCGCGGUAAUACGGAAGGUCCGGGCGUUAUCCGG